This 636-nucleotide long non-coding RNA is filed under the name Ananas comosus (pineapple). RNAcentral describes it as "long non-coding RNA (ACOM_LNC007886)". The record is from RNAcentral. Lineage: Eukaryota; Viridiplantae; Streptophyta; Magnoliopsida; Poales; Bromeliaceae.
UAUCUAUAAUCUAUCUAUAAACCUAUAUGAAGCCACAAUAUUUUUUGCCACGUGGCAUGAUACCUUUCACUCUCCACUCCUCUAAUUAUAUGUAAGGUGCAACAUUUAAUUAUAUUUGCACCAUAUUAAUAUUCUAUGAAUAAGUGGACUUUAUAAUUUUAAUCAACUCCUUUCUUCAUUAAUCUUCCACCCCCUCUCUUUUAUAAUUCUUUUACAUGCAUCAUAAAAUUUUUUUUUACCACGUAACAUGUUACCCUUCAUUCUCAUAGCCCAAUUUUAAAUCAAACCAUCUUCUCCUCUUCUCAACGCCCAACCCUUCACCUCCCCAGUUCAUCUAAUUACAUGUAAGAUGCAACAAUUAAUUAUAUGCACCAUAUUAAUAUUUUAUCAAUGAGUGGAUUCUAGUUAUAAUUUAUUUUUUUAAUACUUAAAUUUAGUCAUGCUAAUUGGCUAUACAUAACAUGGUGUAGUUUUCUAUAUAUCAAUAACCCGUAAAUAUAAAUUUUAUUAAAAUUUUAAAAUUUUGCUUAUAUUAUCUAUAUAUCCGCUGUAUCGCACGGAUCUCUACACUAGUCAUAUACCAGAAAGUAUGAUAGAAAACAAAAUGAAAUUUUAAAUAGGUCUAUUUUGCUUACU